GGCUUCUGCGAUGUCAGAGACGAAGUCUGAGCCUUGCUAAAUAUGCUCUAAAUAAAAGCAUUGAUAAUAUGUUAUUUUGUGAAUAGGGAAAGGACAAGGGUGGUAGUUAAACAAGGAGAAUAAGAUGAUAAUGAGCAAAUAGUUGUAAGGAAGUGAGUAUGUAUCCACGGGGUGAUACAUAAUGUGCAUGGAUUUGGAUACAAAAUACCACCUAGUAUGGAUGUAAGUACAGGAAUAGGAUUUUACCCGUUGGGUAUAUAGAUGUGGGCGG
This 271-nucleotide long non-coding RNA is filed under the name Sorghum bicolor (sorghum). RNAcentral's name for it is "long non-coding RNA (SBIC_LNC001551)". The record is from RNAcentral. Lineage: Eukaryota; Viridiplantae; Streptophyta; Magnoliopsida; Poales; Poaceae.